UGGGGAAUAUUGCACAAUGGGGGAAACCCUGAUGCAGCAACGCCGCGUGAAGGAUGAAGGUUUUCGGAUUGUAAACUUCUUUAGUCAGGGACGAAUAAAUGACGGUACCUGAAGAAUAAGCCACGGCUAACUACGUGCCAGCAGCCGCGGUAAUACGUAGGUGGCGAGCGUUGUCCGGAAUUACUGGGUGUAAAGGGCGUGUAGGCGGGAAUGUAAGUCAGAUGUGAAAUCCCAGGGCUUAACCCUGGAGCUGCAUCUGAAACUAUGUUUCUUGAGUGCCGGAGAGGAUAGCGGAAUUCCUAGUGUAGCGGUGAAAUGCGUAGAUAUUAGGAGGAACACCAGUGGCGAAGGCGGCUAUCUGGACGGUAACUGACGCUGAGGCGCGAAAGCGUGGGGAGCAAACAGG
This 406-nucleotide ribosomal RNA is filed under the name uncultured bacterium. Its description in RNAcentral is "bacterial SSU rRNA". It matches the Rfam family "Bacterial small subunit ribosomal RNA", at positions 355 to 776 of the family's 1533-position model. The record is from RNAcentral.